GUUGAACGGUGGACUUGGCACAGGCAUGGGCCUCGAGAAGGCAAAGUCACUCCUGCCGGUUGUUGAUGGCAACACAUUCCUUGACUUGAUCGCCA
Molecule: non-coding RNA, 95 nt
Filed under: Karenia brevis
Lineage: Eukaryota; Dinophyceae; Gymnodiniales; Kareniaceae
Source: RNAcentral